This 70-nucleotide transfer RNA is filed under the name Muscardinus avellanarius (hazel dormouse). Its description in RNAcentral is "tRNA-Ser". It matches the Rfam family "tRNA". From Rfam's summary of the family: Transfer RNA (tRNA) molecules are approximately 80 nucleotides in length. Their secondary structure includes four short double-helical elements and three loops (D, anti-codon, and T loops). Further hydrogen bonds mediate the characteristic L-shaped molecular structure. tRNAs have two regions of fundamental functional importance: the anti-codon, which is responsible for specific mRNA codon recognition, and the 3' end, to which the tRNAs corresponding amino acid is attached (by aminoacyl-tRNA synthetases). tRNAs cope with the degeneracy of the genetic code in two manners: having more than one tRNA (with a specific anti-codon) for a particular amino acid; and 'wobble' base-pairing, i.e. permitting non-standard base-pairing at the 3rd anti-codon position. Lineage: Eukaryota; Metazoa; Chordata; Mammalia; Rodentia; Gliridae. The record is from RNAcentral.
AAGAAAGAUUAUAGUGGUUAUAGGGCUGGCUUGAAACUAGCUUUAGGGGGUUCAAUUCCUUCCUUUCUUG